CAUGCAAGUCGAGGGGCAGCGCAGGUAGCAAUAUCGGGCGGCGACCGGCGGACGGGUGCGUAACACGUAUGCAACUUACCCCAUACUGGGAAAUAGCCCGGAGAAAUCCGGAUUAAUGUCCCAUAACAUCAGGAAAGGCAUCUUUCUUGGUUAAAAGUUCCGACGGUAUGGGAUGGGCAUGCGCCCCAUUAGCUUGUUGGUGAGGUAAAGGCUCACCAAGGCAACGAUGGGUAGGGGGCCUGAGAGGGUGAUCCCCCACACUGGAACUGAGACACGGUCCAGACUCCUACGGGAGGCAGCAGUAAGGAAUAUUGGUCAAUGGAGGCAACUCUGAACCAGCCAUGCCGCGUGCAGGAAGACGGCCCUACGGGUUGUAAACUGCUUUUAUAUGGGAAGAAACCUUUGGACGUGUCCGAAGCUGACGGUACCAUAUGAAUAAGGGUCGGCUAACUCCGUGCCAGCAGCCGCGGUAAUACGGAGGACCCGAGCGUUAUCCGGAUUCAUUGGGUUUAAAGGGUGCGCAGGCGGAGGAGUAAGUCAGGGGUGAAAGCCGGCAGCUUAACUGUCGAAUUGCCUUUGAUACUGCUUUUCUUGAGUAUGGUUGAUGUGGGCGGAAUGUGGCAUGUAGCGGUGAAAUGCUUAGAUAUGCCACAGAACACCGAUUGCGAAGGCAGCUCACAAAGCCAUUACUGACGCUCAUGCACGAAAGCAUGGGGAGCAAACAGGAUUA
This 730-nucleotide ribosomal RNA is filed under the name uncultured bacterium. Its description in RNAcentral is "bacterial SSU rRNA". It matches the Rfam family "Bacterial small subunit ribosomal RNA", at positions 54 to 780 of the family's 1533-position model. The record is from RNAcentral.